UGCUCGUUGCUGCGAUGAUUCAUGAUAACUCAAAGGAUUGCAUGGUCCUCGUGCCGACGAAUCGUUCAAAUUUUUGCACUAUCAACUUUCGAUGGUAGGAUAGUGGCCUACUAUAAUGGUGACGGAUAACGAAAAAUGAGGGUUCAAUUCCAAAGAGGGAGCCUGAGAAACGGCUAUCACAUCCAAGGAAGGCAGCAGGAGCGCAAAUUACCCAAUCAUGACACGGGGAGAUAGUGACAAUAAAUAACAAUACCGGACUCUCAAAGUCCGAUAAUUGGAAUGAGUACAAUCUAAAUCCCUUAACGAGGAUCAAUUGGAGGGUAAGUUUGGUGCCAACAGCCAUGGUAAUUCCAGCUCCAAUAGCA
RNAcentral lists this ribosomal RNA (365 nucleotides) under Olea europaea subsp. europaea. Its description in RNAcentral is "SSU_rRNA_archaea". It matches the Rfam family "Eukaryotic small subunit ribosomal RNA", at positions 232 to 598 of the family's 1831-position model. Lineage: Eukaryota; Viridiplantae; Streptophyta; Magnoliopsida; Lamiales; Oleaceae. The record is from RNAcentral.